Molecule: long non-coding RNA, 224 nt
Filed under: Lathyrus oleraceus (garden pea)
Lineage: Eukaryota; Viridiplantae; Streptophyta; Magnoliopsida; Fabales; Fabaceae
Description: Pisum sativum (pea) long non-coding RNA (PSAT_LNC018681)
Source: RNAcentral
CAAAGAACAUUGUAAGUAAAUUACAAUAAGAAGUGGGAGAGUUAUUGAGGCCGAAGUCGGUGAAUAUCUAGAAAAAGAAAGAGUCGUGGUUGAAACACAAGAGGGAGAUAUAAAAGAAAGCGAGGAGGAGGUAGAAGAACAAAAUAACAAGGAAACAUUAGUUGAAAAUAAAAAAAUAAGAGAAUGAGAAAAAAGUCAGUGGUGAGCGAAAAUAGAAAAAUCUA